AAUAAACCAAUUUUUCACUUUUUACAUUCAAUUUUUGACUCUUCGUCUUAUUUAAAAAAUUUUGUGAUUGAUAUUUCUAUGUUUAUUAGAUGAUAAAUCAUGAAUAGUAUUUUACGUGCACUAAUUUUUUUCUAAUUUCUUAAAAAAAUUUCAAAUAAAACGGAUGAUCAAUCAUUAGACACGAAAACCGAAGAAUCCAUUUUUU
RNAcentral lists this microRNA precursor (205 nucleotides) under Oryza brachyantha (malo sina). Its description in RNAcentral is "MIR812 microRNA precursor family". It matches the Rfam family "MIR812 microRNA precursor family". The record is from Rfam by way of RNAcentral. Lineage: Eukaryota; Viridiplantae; Streptophyta; Magnoliopsida; Poales; Poaceae.